GUGGUGGAUUAGUGGCGAACGGGUGAGUAACACGUGGGCAAUCUGCCCUUCACUCUGGGACAAGCCCUGGAAACGGGGUCUAAUACCGGAUAACACUCUGUCCCGCAUGGGACGGGGUUGAAAGCUCCGGCGGUGAAGGAUGAGCCCGCGGCCUAUCAGCUUGUUGGUGGGGUAAUGGCCUACCAAGGCGACGACGGGUAGCCGGCCUGAGAGGGCGACCGGCCACACUGGGACUGAGACACGGCCCAGACUCCUACGGGAGGCAGCAGUGGGGAAUAUUGCACAAUGGGCGAAAGCCUGAUGCAGCGACGCCGCGUGAGGGAUGACGGCCUUCGGGUUGUAAACCUCUUUCAGCAGGGAAGAAGCGAAAGUGACGGUACCUGCAGAAGAAGCGCCGGCUAACUACGUGCCAGCAGCCGCGGUAAUACGUAGGGCGCAAGCGUUGUCCGGAAUUAUUGGGCGUAAAGAGCUCGUAGGCGGCUUGUCACGUCGGAUGUGAAAGCCCGGGGCUUAACCCCGGGUCUGCAUUCGAUACGGGCUAGCUAGAGUGUGGUAGGGGAGAUCGGAAUUCCUGGUGUAGCGGUGAAAUGCGCAGAUAUCAGGAGGAACACCGGUGGCGAAGGCGGAUCUCUGGGCCAUUACUGACGCUGAGGAGCGAAAGCGUGGGGAGCGAACAGGAUUAGAUACCCUGGUAGUCCACGCCGUAAACGUUGGGAACUAGGUGUUGGCGACAUUCCACGUCGUCGGUGCCGCAGCUAACGCAUUAAGUUCCCCGCCUGGGGAGUACGGCCGCAAGGCUAAAACUCAAAGGAAUUGACGGGGGCCCGCACAAGCAGCGGAGCAUGUGGCUUAAUUCGACGCAACGCGAAGAACCUUACCAAUAGGAGUCAUAUCCGGAAAGCAUCAGAGACGGUGCCCCCCUUCUGGUCGGUAUCCAGGUGGUGCAUGCCUGUGGUCAGCUCCUGUCGUGAUAUGUCGGGCUAAGUCCCGCAACGAGCGCAACCCUGGUUGGGUGUUGCCAGCAGGCCCUUUGGGGUGAUGGGGACUCACAGGAGACUGCCGCGGUCAGAUCGGAGGAAGGUGGGGACGACGUCAAGUCAUCAUCCCCCCUAUGUGUUGGGCUGCACUCGUGGUACAAUGUCCGGUUCAAUGAGGUGCGAUGGCGGGAGGCGGAGCGAAUCUCAAAAAGCCGGUCUCAGUUUGGACUGGGGUCUGCAACUCGACCCCAUGAAGUCGGAGUUCGUAGUAAUCGCAGAUCAGCACGGCCCGGUGAAUACGUUCCCGGACGUUGUACACACCCCCCGUCACGUCAGGAAAGUCGGUACCAUCCGAACCCGGUGGCCCUUCCCCUCAUGGUAGGGAUCUGUCGCAGGUGGGACGCGCGA
Molecule: ribosomal RNA, 1385 nt
Filed under: Streptomyces sp.
Lineage: Bacteria; Bacillati; Actinomycetota; Actinomycetes; Kitasatosporales; Streptomycetaceae
Description: bacterial SSU rRNA
Rfam family: Bacterial small subunit ribosomal RNA
Source: RNAcentral